CCAGCAGCCGCGGUAAUUCCAGCUCCAAUAGCGUAUAUUAAAGUUGUUGCAGUUAAAAAGCUCGUAGUCGAAUUUCUGGGCGGUGGCAUCAUGGCUUCGGUUAUGAUGCGCCUGUCCAUCCGUCAGGGAAGUACGUUCGUCCUUCACUGGGCGGCGUAGGGAACUGACAUUUUACUUUGAAAAAAUUAGAGUGUUUCAGGCAGGCAAUCGCCGGAAUACAUUAGCAUGGAAUAAUGGAAUAGGACUUUAGUCCAUUUUAUUGGUUAUUGGUCUGAAGUAAUGAUUAAUAGGGACAGUUGGGGGCAUUAGUAUUUAAUUGUCAGAGGUGAAAUUCUUGGAUUUAUUAAAGACUAACUAAUGCGA
Molecule: ribosomal RNA, 363 nt
Filed under: uncultured eukaryote
Lineage: Eukaryota
Description: SSU rRNA
Rfam family: Eukaryotic small subunit ribosomal RNA
Source: RNAcentral